CCUACGGGAGGCAGCAGUGAGGAAUAUUGGUCAAUGGUCGGGAGACUGAACCAGCCAAGCCGCGUGAGGGAGGAAGGUACAGAGUAUCGUAAACCUCUUUUGUCAGGGAACAAAGGCGGGGACGUGUCCCCGGAUGAGUGUACCUGAAGAAAAAGCAUCGGCUAACUCCGUGCCAGCAGCAGCGGUAAUCCGGAGGAUGCGAGCGUUAUCCGGAUUUAUGGGGGUUAAAGGGUGCGCAGGCGGUCUGUUAAGUCAGCGGGCAAAGCCCGGGGCUCAACCCCGGCCCGCCGUUGAAACUGGCAGUCUCGAGUUGGAGAGAGGUAUGCGGAAUGCGCGGUGUAGCGGUGAAAUGCAUAGAUAUCGCGCAGAACUCCGGUUGCGAAGGCAGCAUGCCGGCUCCACACUGACGCUGAGGCACGAAAGCGUGGGUAGCGAACAGGAUUAGAUACCCGAGUAGUC
This 459-nucleotide ribosomal RNA is filed under the name uncultured bacterium. RNAcentral's name for it is "partial 16S ribosomal RNA". It matches the Rfam family "Bacterial small subunit ribosomal RNA", at positions 338 to 795 of the family's 1533-position model. The record is from RNAcentral.